Molecule: ribosomal RNA, 710 nt
Filed under: uncultured bacterium
Lineage: Bacteria
Description: bacterial SSU rRNA
Rfam family: Bacterial small subunit ribosomal RNA
Source: RNAcentral
GAUCCUGGCUCAGAUUGAACGCUGGCGGCAGGCUUACACAUGCAAGUCGAGCGGUAACAUUUCUAGCUUGCUAGAAGAUGACGAGCGGCGGACGGGUGAGUAAUACUUGGGGAUCUGCCUGAUGGCGGGGGACAACCACUGGAAACGGUGGCUAAUACCGCAUAAUGCCUACGGGCCAAAGUGUGGGGCCUUCGGGCCACAUGCCAUCAGAUGAACCCAAGCGAGAUUAGCUAGUUGGUGAGGUAACGGCUCACCAAGGCGACGAUCUCUAGCUGUUCUGAGAGGAUGAUCAGCCACACUGGGACUGAGACACGGCCCAGACUCCUACGGGAGGCAGCAGUGGGGAAUAUUGGACAAUGGGCGCAAGCCUGAUCCAGCCAUGCCGCGUGUGUGAAGAAGGCCUUCGGGUUGUAAAGCACUUUCAGUGGUGAGGAAGGCGUUGUAGUUAAUAGCUGCAACGAUUGACGUUAGCCACAGAAGAAGCACCGGCUAACUCCGUGCCAGCAGCCGCGGUAAUACGGAGGGUGCGAGCGUUAAUCGGAAUUACUGGGCGUAAAGCGCACGUAGGCGGCUUGUUAAGCAAGAUGUGAAAGCCCAGGGCUCAACCUUGGAAUUGCAUUUUGAACUGGCAAGCUAGAGUUUUGAAGAAGGUGGUAGAAUUUCCAGUGUAGCGGUGAGAUGCGUAAAUUUUGGAAGGAAUACCAGUGGCG